RNAcentral lists this ribosomal RNA (541 nucleotides) under Trigonopterus sp. 940 AR-2022a. RNAcentral describes it as "partial large subunit ribosomal RNA". It matches the Rfam family "Bacterial large subunit ribosomal RNA", at positions 1825 to 2625 of the family's 2925-position model. Lineage: Eukaryota; Metazoa; Arthropoda; Insecta; Coleoptera; Curculionidae. The record is from RNAcentral.
GGCCUAUUGAUGAUAAUUUUAGGUCUGACCUGCCCAAUGAUGUAGAGUUUAAUGGCCGCGGUAUUUUGACCGUGCAAAGGUAGCAUAAUCACUAGUUUUUUAAUUGGAAGCUUGAAUGAAAGGUUUGAUGAAAAAAUGACUGUCUCUGUUUAAAUUUAUUAGAAUUUUAUUUUUAAGUAAAAAAGCUUAAAUGUAUAUAGAAGACGAGAAGACCCUAUAGAGUUUUAUAUUUUGUUAGAGUAUCUGGAUUUUUAGUAUCUUUGUUUGCAUGUUUUAGCAAAUAUUUGGUUGGGGUGAUUGAAAAAUUUGUUAAACUUUUUUUUUAUUAGAACAUUUAUUUAUGAAUUUUUGAUCCUUAGAUUAAGAUUAUAAGAGAAAACUACCUUAGGGAUAACAGCGUAAUUUUUUUUAAGAGUUCUGAUCGAAAAAAAAGAUUGCGACCUCGAUGUUGGAUUAAAAGAAAUUAUUGGUGUAGCAGCUAAUAAAUUGGGUCUGUUCGACCCUUGAAAUUUUACAUGAUCUGAGUUUAAACCGGCGUGAG